UAAGUGAAGAGUUUGAUCCUGGCUCAGAGUGAACGCUGGCGGCAGGCCUAACACAUGCAAGUCGGACGGCAGCACAUUGGUAGUAAUACCAUGGGUGGCGAGUGGCGGACGGGUGAGGAAUACAUCGGAAUCUACCUUAUCGUGGGGGAUAACGUAGGGAAACUUACGCUAAUACCGCAUACGACCUACGGGUGAAAGCAGGGGACCUUAGGGCCUUGUGCGAUUGGAUGAGCCGAUGUCCGAUUAGCUAGUUGGU
This 256-nucleotide ribosomal RNA is filed under the name Xylella fastidiosa subsp. multiplex. RNAcentral describes it as "partial 16S ribosomal RNA". It matches the Rfam family "Bacterial small subunit ribosomal RNA", at positions 1 to 253 of the family's 1533-position model. Lineage: Bacteria; Pseudomonadati; Pseudomonadota; Gammaproteobacteria; Lysobacterales; Lysobacteraceae. The record is from RNAcentral.